RNAcentral lists this long non-coding RNA (2935 nucleotides) under Manihot esculenta (cassava). RNAcentral's name for it is "long non-coding RNA (MESC_LNC000088)". The stretch from base 412 to 523 matches the Rfam family "MIR162_1 microRNA precursor family". Lineage: Eukaryota; Viridiplantae; Streptophyta; Magnoliopsida; Malpighiales; Euphorbiaceae. The record is from RNAcentral.
UUACCCGGUGCCAAAUUGAAAGACGCAGUUCGUUUAUUGAUUCUCUCUCUCGGCUUCUUCCAUAAACAAAACCAAAAGGAGAGAGAGAGAGAGAGAGAAACGUACGGAAAUGGCGACUCUGCAAUAGCUCCUCUGGUUCAAGCCCCUUUCUCUGUACCUCUCCCUUUCAAUUCCAAAUUCUCUUUCACUCUGUAUAACUAUAUUAACUAUAUGAAAAAUGCAUGAUAUUCAAACUAUGAACCUUAACAUGGCAGCAGAAGUGGAGAACUACACACCUCCUCUUCAGAUCUGUGGUGGUUUCGCAUUGCUGCUUCAAUUUUUGACGGAAAAUUACUUGUUUUGAUCUUUUGAGGAUUUUCUCAUUGGCUUUUGGGAUAUUUAUUUGUUUAAUUGUUUCUAUUUUGGUUUGGGGGUGAAGUCACUGGAGGCAGCGGUUCAUCGAUCUCUUCCUGGAGGAUUUUGUUGUGGAAUUAACACAAACACAUGAAUCGAUCGAUAAACCUCUGCAUCCAGCGCUUGCCCUCCUUUUUUUUUUUUUUUCUAUACUCUCUCGCUAAUGAGAUCACUAUUUUUUUUUUGGUUGCUGAGAAAUUUUGUUUUAAAGAAAAUGCAAAAUUUCCCGAAGGGUGAAUUUUUUUUUUUCGAAUUUUCUCUAAUUGAAGUUGGUCGCAGCCUUGCAGGAAAAUGCGGCCUCCUCCGGCUAUGGAGCGUGGACUCUUACUGUAGCAUCCCUUUUCAUAUUAUGCAUCAAUUUCUCACACUACUGUGGUGUUAAAGUAAUUGACGAUGGGCUUGAUUUUGGUUAUGUACUUUUGGGUGCUGAUUUGAGCUUGUUGGUGGAAAAAUAUGUGUUUAUUGGUGGAAAAAUAUGUGUUUAAUGUCUCUGGUCUUUGAUUAAGCUUUAUGAGAUUCAUUACAUGCUAAUUCAAGUAUGCUAAGCAUUAUCAGUUGAUUUUGAUGGUAUGGAAGGAAUCAAUCUUUAGCAGCUGCUUGAUAUGAGCUGAAUCCUGAAUGAACCAUGUUGUUAAGUGUAAUUAGUAUACCUUGGAUUUUUAUUUGGGAAUUUGUAACGGGUGCAGUUGUGAUUUGAUGCUUUAUUGCUUCCAAUCAAUGCAAUGUUUUGCUCAUACAACCUUUUGUAUUAUAUAUUUUUGGGCAUUAAUUUUAAAGAUUAUAUUUGUACUCAUUCUUUUCUGGUAUUUUGUGAAAGUUGCAUUCAUAUAACUUUGUAUAUUACGUAAUUCUUGGGCAAGAAUUUGAAAUGUCAUCUUCGUAGUAAUUCUUUGCAGGUUGUUUUGGAAACUUGCAUUUGUAGUAUUCUGCAUUUGUUAAAUGUCAUGCAGCAUGUUCAAUCUUGAGUUUCAAAUUUUAGAUUUUCAUCUUCAUGCUGUAUUUGCUUGACUUGGAUCAAGUUCAGCAUUUAUUUUGAUCAUACUUGAUUGAUGGUCCCUUCUCUAUUUAUUUUCUGCUUAAUUUUUUAGAACCUAUACUACUUUGCUUUGGUAUCAAUUUUUUAUACCUAAAGGAUCCAUGCUCAUGAGAAAUAACUGAGCUUUACGCUGCCUGUCAAUCUACUGCAGCAUUUCCCUUACCCAGGAUUGGGACCAGCUAUGCUUUGCUAAGCUCACCGUAGGCAGAGUUUUUGACUUUGAUGUGUGGUUCUUCUUUAUUCUGAGUGUCAACCAUUCAAGAUUGGCGAAUUCUCUUUUGAUCUCCAUCUUUUAGUCCCUUGGCUGAAGUAGUUGCAUGAGAAGAACUCCUCGGUGGAGUUCUUAUAGAGAUAAUUCUUAAUGAUUAUAUUAUGUUGGAGAUAAUGGUUAUUUUUCUGUAGUUUUGCUCAGAUAAGUUAUUAUAUUGCUUCCUUACUAUUGAUUUUGUUUGUAUUAUAGAUUUGGUGUCCCACAAAAUAUUCUGUAAUGGAUCUGAUCUUUCGUUCCAAUUGUGACACAAUUUUUGCUGAGAAAAACCCAUUUUAGCAUUGUUUAAUUCUUCUAUGCUACUUUUCUGGUGAAUGAAAAUUAGUCUGGCUAACUCUAGCCGUUUAAACAUUUGUGAAGUAUCUCAUUUUAACUAGACCUUUUCUUUUGGGUGGAUUAUAUAAAUAUUAAAGUAAACAUGAUCCCAGAAUCACACUAUUAGGCACCUUCAACAUAUUUCUUAGAGUUGAUGACUAGCUGAACACAUUUCUCAAAAAGCAGAAAGAAAACUGUUUGAGUAUGUAUUUGUAGACAUGGAGGUCAUAGGGAGUUAAUUGGCUGCCAAUUAUGUGUCAUUUUCCUGUGCAAGUGGUCAAAAAGUAUUUAGCUUGUUUCUUUUCUAGGUAAAGUAGAAAAAAAAGUAUCCUUGGAAGAAGUUUCCAAGUGGGAGACAUAGCAUCGUCAUUGCUGCAUGAAAGCGAAGGAAAAAUACAGUUAGCGAGUACCAACUUGUUAGAGAAUCAACUAAGUUGAUUGUACUAAUGGAACCUGGGACUGGUAUCAUGUUCCUUGUGUCAGCCAAAGCUAGUGUAAAUCAAUUUUAAUUAUAUAGUCUAACAUGUCACCAUGUGGACCAAGCAAAUUGUAGAAAAAGUGUUUAGUUCUGAGGACAUGACUACCAAUUCAGAAAGAGAGAUUCCUGGGAAACCUAAUCAUGCUGAGGAUAUUCUUCUAUUUUGUUGCUUUUUUCUGAAUUAUUAUUGGUCUAAAAUUGUAUGCUUUAAUUAUUUAUUCCCAGUUUUGCUUAAGGGGAAAGCUUAAAGUGGAUUCUUUGACCACAAGGUUUUUUUCCAUCUACUUUAUUACUCUUAAUUCCUAAUUUAAUCAAUUGAAGGACUUGUUUUCACAUUUUUAUUUCUUUAAACUGUCUUUCUAACAUUCAUGUUUAUACUUGCAUUCGUUCAUAUGUAAGAAAUAUGCUCAUACAGUUUUUGUUUCUUUCCUUUCGAAGAUAAAAC